Non-coding RNA from Puccinia sorghi, 98 nucleotides. Lineage: Eukaryota; Fungi; Basidiomycota; Pucciniomycetes; Pucciniales; Pucciniaceae. The record is from the annotation of a GenBank genome assembly.
AUUAGGCAUGUUGGGGUGACUCAAAAACUAGUUUUUUCUCAUGAAUAGUGAUUCAAAACAUGCAUCAAAACCAGUUUUGGAAUCACUCCAACAUCUCA